Molecule: ribosomal RNA, 253 nt
Filed under: uncultured bacterium
Lineage: Bacteria
Description: partial 16S ribosomal RNA
Rfam family: Bacterial small subunit ribosomal RNA
Source: RNAcentral
UACAGAGGUGGCAAGCGUUGUUCGGAUUUAUUGGGCGUAAAGGGUCCGUAGGCGGUUUGGAAAGUCGGGUGUGAAAUCCCACAGCUUAACUGUGGAACUGCAUUCGAAACUUCCAGACUCGAGUGUGAGAGGGGUAAGGGGAAUUCCCGGUGUAAGAGUGAAAUCUGUAGAGAUCGGGAGGAACACCAGUCGCGAAGGCGCCUUACUGGCUCACUACUGACGCUGAGGGACGAAAGCCAGGGGAGCAAACGGG